UCUUAAAGAGAAAUAAGAUACUCGUUCUUGCUAGAAAAACAGAAGCAAGCACUCUCAGAGUGGUAACGGAAGUUAGCUGAUAACUUAGGCUCCGUUUGGUUAGGGAUAAUGGAAUGCAAUCAAGAGAGGCCAUCGUUCGACCACAACAACUCGUGCAACAGGAAUCUUCCUCUCUUCUUCGGUGACUAGUUUCUUUCUUAUUACUAGGCACAAAAAAACCUCGAAAACAACACCUCCAGUGCACUACAUAUUCCCCAGGACUGGCUAGUGAUGGGUUGCAUUCUCAGCUGUAGUAGUGGACAAAAUGUGCCAUCCAAUGGAAAGUCCAAGAAAUCCUCAAUGCCUUCUGGCCAGGAUUGUUUUUGCUCCCAUAACUGAUUCUACUUCAAAUCAUGGCCUAAUCCCAACAAUUCUCUAUGAGUGAGCAAUUUUGACAGAGAAUAAAAAGCUUCAGCGUUCAAAUUUUGAAAAAUCUUCAGAAGACAAGCAUGAUGUUGGUGCAAAUGGCAGUUUGGUAGCCCUUGUUGCAGAAAGGUGCACACAAGACGCAACUUGGCAUGCUCCCCGUCACCUGGCAAGUCUAGAAGUAGAAGAAGGUAUUUUUGUGAGAGUUUCAUUAUAUUUUACUUUUUCUGUAAAGUAAUUUUAAAAACAAAAUUUGAUAAUGAUAAGAAGGUUGCGACUUAAGCUCCUUAUAAGGAGGU
Molecule: long non-coding RNA, 704 nt
Organism: Humulus lupulus (European hop)
Lineage: Eukaryota; Viridiplantae; Streptophyta; Magnoliopsida; Rosales; Cannabaceae
Exons: 4
Source: RefSeq, a predicted model, not a curated record